AUUGUUACGCCCCCAAAUUCGGGUACUUGAAACCCUUAUUCAGUGCUUCACGAUAUCAAACAUUCAACAUAUAAUAAACUUAAAUGUAGUAAAGUUAUUACAUCAAAGUUCUACUGAUCCCAGGUACGUAUACCUUUAAAUGUUUAUUACAUGAUAGUUUAAUAUUUACAAACAUAUAAACUAUCUAUUACAUCAACUCCCAGCUAUUCUGUUAUUUUUCCAUUUCCCUUGUCCUUUCUAGACCCUUCUGCCUGAGUCUGCUCAACU
This 267-nucleotide long non-coding RNA is filed under the name Panax ginseng (ginseng). RNAcentral describes it as "long non-coding RNA (PGIN_LNC017259)". The record is from RNAcentral. Lineage: Eukaryota; Viridiplantae; Streptophyta; Magnoliopsida; Apiales; Araliaceae.